RNAcentral lists this transfer RNA (84 nucleotides) under Bacteroides oleiciplenus. RNAcentral describes it as "tRNA-Gln". It matches the Rfam family "tRNA". Rfam says of the family: Transfer RNA (tRNA) molecules are approximately 80 nucleotides in length. Their secondary structure includes four short double-helical elements and three loops (D, anti-codon, and T loops). The record is from RNAcentral. Lineage: Bacteria; Pseudomonadati; Bacteroidota; Bacteroidia; Bacteroidales; Bacteroidaceae.
UGGACUAUGGUGUAAUGGUAGCACAACAGGUUUUGGUUCUGUUUGUCCAAGUUCGAAUCAGUUCGAAUCUUGGUAGUCCAACCA